ACAGGACUCCGGUAAUGCCUAUGACGUGAACAUGCAAACUGAUGGGGGCACAAGGACCGGUGGAACCACUGACCAUGGGACUGGUGACUCCUCAAAUUGGAGGGACCACAAACUGCCUCCAAGCACACUCGAUAGAUCUAAGGCAUACACCAACUAAACAGCCUGUUACAGUCCUGAACGCUAAACCCCACAGCUACACAUCACACCACAGACCACAGAGGUUUCAGAUUUCUAAGGCCAGAAUCAGGAACGAAGACAAAUCACUCUCACCAUCACAUUGCAUUAUUGUUAUUGUCAAAACCUGCACAGGAACUGUACUGAUCAUUCAUCUGAGUACAUCCGAGUCUGAGAGUGUGAAGAUCAAGAUUCAAGAUUAACUUUAUCUGUGCCACAAAGUGAGAAAUUUGUCUUGGGCUGUUUACCCAUGCUGCAGCCAUAAAAAGACAACAGUCGACAUCAUUCACAUUAAACAUAAAACCAUGAAUAUCAUUACAUAAUGUAAAGAAUAAAAUAACAUCAGGUUCUCAAAAUACCAGUGAAAAAAUGCAAAGAGAAAUUAUAGUCCGGAGCCUAUCCUGUCUUAUUUGCCCCCUUCUUUUCAAAGUUUUAAAGACACAGGGAUGAAUGAAUCUUCAAACCUGUUCAGUCUACAACGAUGAACUCUGAACCUCUUACCAGAGGGCAGGAGCUCAUAGUCUGUAUCUAGAAUAGAAAGUGUAGGAUUAUCUCCAGCUUGGCCUACAUUAAAAAAACGUUUCAAGGUCUUGAAAACAGCUAAUUUGUCAGCAUUCGAUUAUGAUGAUUUUACUUUGGCAUAUAUUUGGUGGUUGGUGUUGAUUUGAGUGAAUAUUCUUCCAGAGUUAAAGCUAAUAAAACUCUAGAGUUGUCAUGCAAAAGGUCAGAUGUCAAAUACUUUCCAAUGACUGCUCAUGUUGAUUCUUUUAAAAAUCGUUCUUAGAAGCUGCAAUUGUGUAAAAGACAACAAGACCAUCACAGUGAAACCUUUACUUUGUGUGCUACCAUUUGUGUUAACUUAUUAUUAAAUAAGUUGACGGCUAAAACUUUAACGGUUAGCGCUGACGUUAGGAGGCAGUCUGCCUAACAACCAACAUGUGGGCUAACGAUAUCUAUAACGAUAGGCUUGUAGCUAACGGUUGUGCCUGUAAUCCAAACUGCUUAACAGCAAUUUAGCGCAGCUGUUUAAACUUCAGACAGGUCGCCUAGGGUUUUAAAAAGUUUGGCUUGCUAGUUGAGAAGAUAAGGGGCUGCAUGUGUGUCCUCACUGGGUGAUAUUGGAUCGUUAUCUUAAACUGAGCGGAUUUUAUACAGUUUUUGUGCUGAUCUAAGAUAGUCGCUGUUCACAUAUUUAUUGAAGUUGUGUUUACAUCCUGACAUCAAUCAAUCAAUCCAAAAAAUAUAAUCGAUAGCUGUGGCUUUCCAAGGGGAAUAAACAUCCUGAAAAUACUCCUGCAAAUGGCCUUGGGACUUUUUGCUGUUGUAGGAAACUAUUUUUUAGUUAUAUGCUUCCAAAAUAUAGUUUUCCUUUAGCUGUUUGUGUACUUGUGUUGAUGAUGAUCAUUUGUGAUGUGAUAUUUUUCUAACUUUGGGUGCACUUUUCAUUACUGAUGAUGGGAUCGAAUGUUUGUUUGUAUUUUAUUCUUUUUGUAUAAUUUUUAUUUUUGUUCCAAUCUUUAGCGAUGUUUAUGGCUGAACAGUGACUGGUCUGGCCAGCUGGUGCAGAUAAAGUCUAUGUAGUGUAACCUAUUGUUAACCCUCUUGAUCUGUUUGUCCUGGAAAUAAAGACAGUUUAAAAGCCACCUUUCAUCCCAUCCUGGUUGAUUGUGAUGGGAGUGGCACCUGGCCCUAUACUGACUAUUCAGAGCAAACCAAAAGGUUGCAAAACACUGAGCAGGGUGGAGUUGUCAUUCUUGUAAUGCCAGUUGUCACGCACUGACAUUCAAUCCACAGAUCUGUUCAAAUGAAACACACCCUGGUGAAACACUAACUUCAGUGGUAUGCUUCUGUUGACCCUUAAAAACCUAGAAACCACAUGUUUAUUAAUGUCUUGCACAUGUAAUUCUACAUGGACACAAAAUGUUCUACUUAGGUUAAACAUUAUUAUAUUUUUGUCCAAUGCUCAGUGGGCAGUGCAGUGUUGGUGUCAUGAUGUCAACCAGUGGAGGGCUCUGACGUGGGCUUCAAGUGUCAAACUUUUUUCGAGAUUCUUUGGGAUU
This is a non-coding RNA of Labrus bergylta (ballan wrasse), 2234 nucleotides long. The record is from RefSeq and is a predicted model, not a curated record. NCBI's taxonomy places the organism in Eukaryota, Metazoa, Chordata, Actinopteri, Labriformes, Labridae.